Molecule: ribosomal RNA, 311 nt
Filed under: uncultured Archaeospora
Lineage: Eukaryota; Fungi; Glomeromycota; Glomeromycetes; Archaeosporales; Archaeosporaceae
Description: SSU rRNA
Rfam family: Eukaryotic small subunit ribosomal RNA
Source: RNAcentral
AGCAGCCGCGGUAAUUCCAGCUCCAAUAGCGUAUAUUAAAGUUGUUGCAGUUAAAAAGCUCGUAGUUGAAUUUUAGGCCUGACCGGACGGUCCGUCUCUGGCGAGUACUGUUCUGCUGUCGGGUCUAUCCUUCUGGUGAGCCGGUAUGUCCUUUAUUGGGUGUGUCGGGGAACCAGGACCAUUACCUUGAAAAAAUUAGAGUGUUUAAAGCGGGCUUUUGCUUGAAUAGAUUAGCAUGGAAUAAUAGAAUAGGACGUUGGUUCUAUUUUGUUGGUCUAGGACCACCGUAAUGAUUAAUAGGGAUAGUUGGG